Molecule: ribosomal RNA, 2872 nt
Filed under: Salmonella enterica subsp. enterica serovar Enteritidis
Lineage: Bacteria; Pseudomonadati; Pseudomonadota; Gammaproteobacteria; Enterobacterales; Enterobacteriaceae
Description: bacterial LSU rRNA
Rfam family: Bacterial large subunit ribosomal RNA
Source: RNAcentral
GGGUUGUGAGGUUAAGCGACUAAGCGUACACGGUGGAUGCCCUGGCAGUCAGAGGCGAUGAAGGGCGUGCUAAUCUGCGAUAAGCGCCGGUAAGGUGAUAUGAACCGUUAUAACCGGCGAUACCCGAAUGGGGAAACCCAGUGUGAUUCGUCACACUAUCAUUAACUGAAUCCAUAGGUUAAUGAGGCGAACCGGGGGAACUGAAACAUCUAAGUACCCCGAGGAAAAGAAAUCAACCGAGAUUCCCCCAGUAGCGGCGAGCGAACGGGGAGGAGCCCAGAGCCUGAAUCAGCAUGUGUGUUAGUGGAAGCGUCUGGAAAGGCGCGCGAUACAGGGUGACAGCCCCGUACACAAAAGCGCAUGUGCUGUGAGCUCGAUGAGUAGGGCGGGACACGUGGUAUCCUGUCUGAAUAUGGGGGGACCAUCCUCCAAGGCUAAAUACUCCUGACUGACCGAUAGUGAACCAGUACCGUGAGGGAAAGGCGAAAAGAACCCCGGCGAGGGGAGUGAAAAAGAACCUGAAACCGUGUACGUACAAGCAGUGGGAGCNNNNNNNNNNNNNNNNNNNNNNNNNNNNNNNNNNNNNNNNNNNNNNNNNNNNGGGCGUUAAGUUGCAGGGUAUAGACCCGAAACCCGGUGAUCUAGCCAUGGGCAGGUUGAAGGUUGGGUAACACUAACUGGAGGACCGAACCGACUAAUGUUGAAAAAUUAGCGGAUGACCUGUGGCUGGGGGUGAAAGGCCAAUCAAACCGGGAGAUAGCUGGUUCUCCCCGAAAGCUAUUUAGGUAGCGCCUCGUGAAUUCAUCUCCGGGGGUAGAGCACUGUUUCGGCUAGGGGGCCAUCCCGGCUUACCAACCCGAUGCAAACUGCGAAUACCGGAGAAUGUUAUCACGGGAGACACACGGCGGGUGCUAACGUCCGUCGUGAAGAGGGAAACAACCCAGACCGCCAGCUAAGGUCCCAAAGUCAUGGUUAAGUGGGAAACGAUGUGGGAAGGCCCAGACAGCCAGGAUGUUGGCUUAGAAGCAGCCAUCAUUUAAAGAAAGCGUAAUAGCUCACUGGUCGAGUCGGCCUGCGCGGAAGAUGUAACGGGGCUAAACCAUGCACCGAAGCUGCGGCAGCGACACUGUGUGUUGUUGGGUAGGGGAGCGUUCUGUAAGCCUGUGAAGGUGUGUCGUGAGGCAUGCUGGAGGUAUCAGAAGUGCGAAUGCUGACAUAAGUAACGAUAAAGCGGGUGAAAAGCCCGCUCGCCGGAAGACCAAGGGUUCCUGUCCAACGUUAAUCGGGGCAGGGUGAGUCGACCCCUAAGGCGAGGCCGAAAGGCGUAGUCGAUGGGAAACGGGUUAAUAUUCCCGUACUUGGUGUUACUGCGAAGGGGGGACGGAGAAGGCUAUGUUGGCCGGGCGACGGUUGUCCCGGUUUAAGCGUGUAGGUGUGUGUUCCAGGUAAAUCCGGUUCACUUUAACACUGAGGCGUGACGACGAGGCACUACGGUGCUGAAGCAACAAAUGCCCUGCUUCCAGGAAAAGCCUCUAAGCAUCAGGUAACAUCAAAUCGUACCCCAAACCGACACAGGUGGUCAGGUAGAGAAUACCAAGGCGCUUGAGAGAACUCGGGUGAAGGAACUAGGCAAAAUGGUGCCGUAACUUCGGGAGAAGGCACGCUGACACGUAGGUGAAGUGAUUUACUCAUGGAGCUGAAGUCAGUCGAAGAUACCAGCUGGCUGCAACUGUUUAUUAAAAACACAGCACUGUGCAAACACGAAAGUGGACGUAUACGGUGUGACGCCUGCCCGGUGCCGGAAGGUUAAUUGAUGGGGUCAGCGCAAGCGAAGCUCCUGAUCGAAGCCCCGGUAAACGGCGGCCGUAACUAUAACGGUCCUAAGGUAGCGAAAUUCCUUGUCGGGUAAGUUCCGACCUGCACGAAUGGCGUAAUGAUGGCCAGGCUGUCUCCACCCGAGACUCAGUGAAAUUGAACUCGCUGUGAAGAUGCAGUGUACCCGCGGCAAGACGGAAAGACCCCGUGAACCUUUACUAUAGCUUGACACUGAACAUUGAGCCUUGAUGUGUAGGAUAGGUGGGAGGCUUUGAAGUGUGGACGCCAGUCUGCAUGGAGCCGACCUUGAAAUACCACCCUUUAAUGUUUGAUGUUCUAACGUGGACCCGUUACCCGGGUUGCGGACAGUGUCUGGUGGGUAGUUUGACUGGGGCGGUCUCCUCCUAAAGAGUAACGGAGGAGCACGAAGGUUGGCUAAUCCUGGUCGGACAUCAGGAGGUUAGUGCAAUGGCAUAAGCCAGCUUGACUGCGAGCGUGACGGCGCGAGCAGGUGCGAAAGCAGGUCAUAGUGAUCCGGUGGUUCUGAAUGGAAGGGCCAUCGCUCAACGGAUAAAAGGUACUCCGGGGAUAACAGGCUGAUACCGCCCAAGAGUUCAUAUCGACGGCGGUGUUUGGCACCUCGAUGUCGGCUCAUCACAUCCUGGGGCUGAAGUAGGUCCCAAGGGUAUGGCUGUUCGCCAUUUAAAGUGGUACGCGAGCUGGGUUUAGAACGUCGUGAGACAGUUCGGUCCCUAUCUGCCGUGGGCGCUGGAGAACUGAGGGGGGCUGCUCCUAGUACGAGAGGACCGGAGUGGACGCAUCACUGGUGUUCGGGUUGUCAUGCCAAUGGCACUGCCCGGUAGCUAAAUGCGGAAGAGAUAAGUGCUGAAAGCAUCUAAGCACGAAACUUGCCCCGAGAUGAGUUCUCCCUGAGACUUAGAGUCUCCUGAAGGAACGUUGAAGACGACGACGUUGAUAGGCCGGGUGUGUAAGCGCAGCGAUGCGUUGAGCUAACCGGUACUAAUGAACCGUGAGGCUUAACCUUACAACGCCGAAG